Molecule: ribosomal RNA, 510 nt
Filed under: Triticum aestivum (bread wheat)
Lineage: Eukaryota; Viridiplantae; Streptophyta; Magnoliopsida; Poales; Poaceae
Description: partial small subunit ribosomal RNA
Source: RNAcentral
AUGACACACAAGGAGCAAUUUCAGAAGUUGGGAGUUUGUCCCCCGAAAGGAGUUCUUUUAUAUGGACCACCUGGGACGGGAAAGACAUUGACGGCUCGUGCAUGUGCUGCACAAACCAAUGAAACCUUUCUGAAACUUGCUGGUCCGCAGCUAGUCCAGAUGUUCAUCGGUGACGGGGCAAAGCUCGUCCGAGAUGCAUUUGAGCUGGCAAAGGAGAAGGCCCCCUGCAUCAUUUUUAUUGAUGAGAUUGAUGCAAUUGGAACAAAGCGUUUUGACAGUGAAGUUAGUGGUGACAGAGAAGUCCAACGAACCAUGUUGGAGUUGCUGAAUCAGCUAGAUGGAUUUAGCAGUGCUGAGAGGAUAAAGAUGAUAGCUGCAACUAAUCGUGCAGAUAUUCUCGAUCCUGCUUUACUCCGUUCUGGUCGCCUGGACCGCAAGAUUGAGUUCCCUCAUCCGACAGAAGAAGCAAGAGCUAGGAUUUUACUCAAGAAAGAUGAACGUACAUCCUGA